AUACGUAGGGGGCGAGCGUUGUCCGGAAUGAUUGGGCGUAAAGGGCGCGUAGGCGGCGCGGUAAGUCUGGAGUGAAAGUCCUCCUUUCAAGGUGGGAAUUGCUUUGGAUACUGCCGCGCUUGAGUGCAGGAGAGGUUAUCGGAAUUCCCGGUGUAGCGGUGAAAUGCGUAGAGAUCGGGAGGAACACCAGUGGCGAAGGCGGGUAACUGGACUGCAACUGACGCUGAGGCGCGAAAGUGUGGGGAGCAAACAGGAUUAGAUACCCUGGUAGUCCACACUGUAAACGAUGAAUGCUAGGUGUAAGAGGUAUCGACCCCUUUUGUGCCGGAGUCAACACAAUAAGCAUUCCGCCUGGGGAGUACGGCCGCAAGGUUGAAACUCAAAGGAAUUGACGGGU
This 397-nucleotide ribosomal RNA is filed under the name uncultured bacterium. RNAcentral describes it as "partial 16S ribosomal RNA". It matches the Rfam family "Bacterial small subunit ribosomal RNA", at positions 523 to 918 of the family's 1533-position model. The record is from RNAcentral.